Molecule: long non-coding RNA, 21024 nt
Filed under: Gossypium barbadense (sea-island cotton)
Lineage: Eukaryota; Viridiplantae; Streptophyta; Magnoliopsida; Malvales; Malvaceae
Description: long non-coding RNA (GBAR_LNC001986)
Source: RNAcentral
GUUAUAUCACUAUAAGUUACUUCUUCAUGUCAAACGACAUUAGGUGCGUUAAAAAUAGGAGUAGAGGGCAAAAGCAUUUUCUCAUCCUGAGAAUAGAGGGAUUAGCGGAUACUUUACCCAACCCUUUAGCCUAUUGAAUUUCUAUUAUCGAACUUGGACUGAAAAUACCCAAAGGGGUCUAUCUAUACGCUGGCCCAACUUGCGCCCACAUCCACUACUUUAUCCUUUUUGUUACUAGAUAGGCCCAUUGUGGAUGUGGCCAACUUGUAUCCACAACUUUAUCCUUUUUUUUACUAGAUGCUACACAAGAGCCAUUUUUGGGCUCAUCGUUGGAUCUCCCACUUCCGGAUGAUUUGAAACAGUAAAAAUCUUUGGGCAUACCUCUAUUACAUGACCAUACCACCUGCAACAAAAGCACACCACUAGAAGGGAUUCAAACUCAACUCGUUGAAUAUUUUCGUUGAUCAGUACCUAGAAGACUAAAGGUUUACAUAGACUACCAUGCUAGAAAAUUUCCCUCUUAUUCCACUAUUAGUGUUAAAGUCCAUCUUUAUAACUUUAUCAAUAGUUCCCUUGAUCUCUUCAAGGAUCCUAUGUUUAUAAAUAAAUCCGAGAGACCUGAGAGUCUAAUCCAUUCCUUCACAACACUCAGAUAAGGUUGCAUCAGAUUAAAGUCCGUAGUCCAAGACUGCACUGUAAGGUAUUGCCUAUAAAUGAUCCAUGAACCUUGAGAUAAAACUUUUUCAAAAUCAUCCUUAUUCUGGAAUUUUGCUAGAAAAUAUCCAUUUUCUAUAUCCAUUAACUAAAAUGGAGAUGAGGGUCCCCAAAGACUAUUGAUUUUGUUUUGUAGGGUUGCAUAUUCGAUGGAUUGUCCUAAGAGCUUAAAGACCACCGUGGUGAUCAUGUUUUUAAUCAACAAUUAAUUAAAUCUUUCACAAAAGUUAAUCGCAGGAAUUCCAUUCACAAUAGAUCCUGUCCAACAAUUUGAUCUCUUCAUCAUCUCCAAAAUCAGAAUGAUUUUCUGAUGCCCUAGCUCCACCUGCUAAACCACCCAAUAGUUUGUCUUUUAGAAAAGUGUUGACUUGGGUUCCAAAUCCACUGCCAUAUCGAUGGCCCCAUCUAUAUUUGAGUCAUUGAAUCUCACUUUUUUGGUUGAUCAAUCUUUACAAAAUUCAAAAUUUUCACCACUCACCAUGAUCGAUAACGAAUGUCUUUAUAGAAUUUGAAGAAUUUUUCCAGAUUGUUACUAAACUCACUUCACUUUUAGUGUACAAUACUUGAUGUGUAGUUUCUCUAUAUGAUGAAAUUUGAACCUAAGUCAAUUGAAUUAGUAAAACCUUAAAUUUACCAUUCAAUCAAAACUUCUUUUUUAUAGUUUUACAAAUUUUUAUUUUAAUAUGUACAUUUUAUUAUCUUUGCCAAUUAAGAAUAAUACUAUUGAUUGAGUUGGUAUUACGAGUCAACUCAUUACCAACUAAUUCAAAGAAAUCACUUUAAUGCCAUUUUUAAAAAAUGAUGGAAUAUAUUAAUAUAUGUUAUAAAUAAAUGUGAAUGUCCAUAUUCUAACCCCCCAUCAUUUAUGAGGUAAAACCUCCCAUUCAUUAUGCAAUGUUUACUAUAUGCGUUAAUGAAGCACUUAAGUAAGCUUCAUUUAUGGUAUUGCAUUGAAUAUUAAUUACUUAUAAAUUAUAAAUAGAAUCCUUACUUUAGUAAAAUAAAAAAAAGGAGAAAAUUCCUCUUAUAUUUUCAUCCACUUUUAUUUAUUGUUUUAUUAAUUUUUCUAUAACAGGUUAUCAGCACGAGCUUCUACAAGUUCAUAGUGAAGUUCACGUCAUUUCGACUUUAUAUAAUUUGCCCAUAUAACUCUCGCUAAACUAUAUACGGUAUACGUAUUUUCAUAAUUCUUUUAUUUUAUUUUCUAGAUGAAAUUUUUGCUUUGGGUAACUUUUGCACAUUUAUUUUUACAACUAAAAUCUAAUAAUGAUAAUUAUAUAUACAUUUUUUAUUAAAAGAAAUUUCAAUUAAUUUAAUUUGUGUUAAGUUAUUAUUAUGAAUAUUCCUUUUUAUGCCAAUAUUUGACAUACAUAUUAUUAUUUAGCAAAUUUGGUAUAUAUAAUUGAAUUAUUUUACGAUUGAGAAUACUUAUUAUUUUACUAAUAUUUUUUUAUUUUGAUUAAAGUGAUUAUAAUGUCAAAUCUUGCCAAACUUGAAUUUUCAGCCUUAGACAUCUCAGGCAAGAAUUAUUUGUCAUGGGUGUUAGAUGUUGAAAUUCACCUAGAUGCUAAAGGUCUAGGAAAUACUACAUUAGCGUAUAAAGAAACAUUUAAUCAAGACAAGGCAAAAGCAAUGAUUUUCAUCUGUCAUCAUCUACAUGAAGGAUUAAAAUUGGAAUGUCUCAUUAUGAAAGACCCUCUUGAGUUGUGAAAAAAAUUUGAAAGAAUGAUUUGACCAUAAGAAAACUGUGAUACUCUUUAAAGCUCGUUAUGAUUGGAUGCACUUACGGUUGUAAGAUUUUAAGACUGUAAGUGAAUACAAUUCAGAACUUUUCAAAAUUAGUUCUCAACUAAAAUUAUGUGGAGAAAACAUAACUGAUGAGGACUUGUUAGAGAAAACAUUUUCAACCUUUCAAGCUACUAAUGUGCUCAUACAGCAGCAAUACCGUGAAAAAGAUUUUAAAAUGUAUUCUGAAUUGAUUUCAUGCCUUUUGGUGGUUAAACAAAAUAAUGAAUUGUUGAUGAAAAAUCAUGGAAUUCGUCCUACUAGUUCUGCAUCAUUCCAUGAAGUGAAUGUAGUAGUGCAAAAUAAUUAUGAAAAUAAAAAAUAUAGAGGUCGCGGCCGUGGUCAUGGACGUAGUAGGGGACGUGGUCGAGGACGUAUUAGUAAUCGUUAUCAUAGUGGUCAUAACAAUGAUACUUCUAACCACCAGAAAAAGAAUAACAAUGAAAGACAAGAAAGAAGCGGUCAAAAUAAUCCUUCAAAGAUUGUUGAGAAUAUAUGCUAUUGAUGUGGUAUAAAGGGGCAUUGGUCACGUACCUGUCGUACGUCUGAUCAUUUAGUGAAACUUUAUCAAGCACCUAUUAAAAGGAAGGGAAAGAAUAUGAAGACAAAUUUUAUAUCCCAAAAUGAUGAAAUUGAGGCAAAAGAUGAAGAUAUUCACUAUAAUACUAAAACUGACCAUGCCUACAAGGGUGAUAAAUUUAAUGACCUUAAUAAUAUAACUCACCUAGAUGUGGCAGAUUUCUUUGAGAAUCAUUAGAAAAAUUGAUGUUAUUUUGACAUUUUUAUGUUGUUUUAAGUAUAUUUUAUUUUCUUGCUUAAAGAAUAAUUUAUAUAUUUAAUAAAUAUUUGCAAUAUUUCUCAUAUUAUAUUUUGUUUGUUUUUAUGAAGAAUAUGAAUAUUCAACAAAAUUUUGAUGGACCCAAAAUCAAUGGAGACAUGUGUAUUGUAGAUAGUGCUACAAUACAUACGAUACUCAAAGAUAAAAAAAUAUUUUUCUCAUUUGACAAUGAGUAAUGCCCAUGUUAAUUCAAUAUCGGGUAGUUCAAAACUUAUUGAAGGCUCUGGAAGAGCUAUUAUAUUAUUAUCCUAAAGGUACAAAAUUUUUCAUUGAUGAUGCUUUAUAUUCCAAUAAGUCUCAAAGAAAUUUAUUGAGUUUUAAAGAUAUUCGUCUUAAUGGAUACCAUAUUGAGACUAUGAAUGAGAAAAAUGUUGAAUACAUAUAUAUAUAUUACAAAUGUUGAAUGUGGAAAGAAAUUUGUUUUGGAGAGGCUACCUGCUUUUUCAUCAGGUUUAUAUUAUACACAUAUUAGUGCAAUUGAGUCACAUGUUACUACAAACCAGAAGUUUGUAGAACCACAUACUUUUACUAUUUGGCAUGACCGAUUAGGCCAUCCCAGAUCUAUUAUGAUGUGAAGAAUCAUUGAGAAUUCAAUUGGACACCCGUUAAAGAACCAAAAGAUUAUUGAAUUCAAGGAUUUAUCUUGUGUCGCUUGUUCUCAAGGAAAAUUGAUUAUUAGACCAUCACCAGCUAAAGUUGGGAUUGAAUCUCCCACAUUUCUAGAACGUAUUCAAGGUGAUAUAUGUGGGCUCAUUCAUCCACCAUGUGGACCAUUCAGACAUUUUAUGGUAUUAAUAGAUGCAUCUAGUAGGUGGUCACAUGUGUGUUUAUUAUCGACUCGUAACCUAGUGUUUGCGAGACUACUUGCUCAAAUAAUUUGAUUAAGAGCACAAUUUCCAGAUUAUGCAAUCAAAACUAUUCAUCUUGAUAAUGCUGGUGAGUUUACAUCCGAAGCUUUUAAUGAUUAUUGUAUGUCAAUUGGGAUAAAAGUUGAACAUAUUGUAGCUCAUGUUCAUACACAAAAUGAUUUAGCUGAAUCGUUUAUCAAACGCCUCCAACUAAUAGCUCGGCCAUUGCUCAUGAGAACAAAACUCCCUACUACAGCUUGGGGAUAUGCUAUUUUACAUCCAGCAGCACUUGUACGCUUAAGGCCAAUAAGUUAUAAUAAGUACUCUCCAUUACAAUUGGCUUUUGGUCAGGAGCCAAAUAUUUCCCAUCUUAGAAUUUUCGGAUGUGCAGUAUAUGUUUCAAUUGCUCCUCCACAAUGCACAAAGAUGGGUCCUCAAAGGAGGUUAGGAAUAUAUGUUAGUUAUGAAUCUCCUUCUAUAAUUAAAUAUGUUGAACCAUUAACUAGAGAUUUAUUUACUGCAAGAUUUAUUGAUUGUCAUUUUGAUGAAACAACAUUCCCAACAUUAGGGGAAGAGAAAAUACAACUAGUAAAAGAAAUUACAUGGAAUGGAUCAUCAUUAUCUCAAUUAGAUCCUCGUACAAGUUAAUGUGAACAAGAAGUUCAAAGGAUUAUACAUUUGCAAAACAUUGCCAAUCAACUGCCAGAUUCAUUUAUUGGCCUAAAGAGAGUUACAAAAUCUCACAUACCAGUUGAAAAUGCUCCAAUACGAAUUGAUAUCCUAAUAAGACAAAUUGUUAGUGCAAAAGAAAGUAAUCCACGCCUGAAGCAUGGAAGGCCAAUCGGUUCCAAAGAUAUAAAUCCUUGUAAAAGGAAAGGAGCAAUUAUUCAAUAUGGUAAUAUUGUGAAGGCAAAUGCCCCAGAAGAGGCCAAAGAUAUAACUAAUCAAAAAACCCCAGAAGAGGUUCAGGUACCUGAAAAUGGUGAUAACUAAGAAAUCUCAAUAAGUUAUGUUACUUCAAGAAAAAUAUGGAACCGAAAAAAUAUAGUUGCCGAGAACAAUUUUGCUUAGAAUGUUGCUACUGAAAUAGCAAAAGAAAAUGAGGAUCCUAAGCCUAAAUCUAUUGAGGAAUGUAGAAAUACAAAAGAUUGGCCAAAAUAGAAAGACGCAAUUCAAGCAGAAUUAAAUUCACUUUCUAAACAUGAGGUUUUUGGACCUAUAGUCCAAACCCCUAAAUAUGUAAAGCUGGUAAGAUAUAAAUGGAUAUUUGUACGAAAAAUUAAUGAGAAAAAUGAAGUCGUAACAUAUAAAUCACGACUUAUAGCACAAGGAUUUUUGCAAAGACUCGACAUUGAUUAUGAAGAGACAUAUUCUCCUGUGGUGGAUGCAAUCACGUUUAGAUACCUUAUUAGUCUAGCAGUAUGUGAAAAAUUUGACAUACAUCUAAAGGAUAUCGUUACAACUUAUUUGUAUGGCACACUUGAUAGUGAAAUUUAUAUGAAAAUCCUAGAAGGAUUUAAAAUCCCUGAAGGAUAUAGAGUUUCCCGGGAAAAUUGCUUAAUCAGAUUAAAAAAAGUUUAUAUGGAUUAAAAUAAUCUGGACGUAUGUGGUACAAUCCUCUUAGUGAAUAUUUGUUAAAAGAAGGUUAUAAAAAUGAUCCAAUCUGCCCAUGUGUUUUUAUAAAAAGGUCUGAAUCAAACUUUUUGAUAAUUGCUAUUUAUGUUGAUGAUCUAAAUAUUAUUGGAACUCUUGAGCUUCAAAAUGAAGUAAAUUAUUUAAAGAAAGAAUUUGAGAUGAAAGAUCUUGGAAUAGCAAAAUUUUGUCUUGGCCUGCAAAUCGAGCAUUUAAAAAGAUGCAAUUCAUGUCCAUCAGUCAACUUAUACAAAAAAGAUCUUAAAAAAUUUUAUAUGGAUAAAGCACAUCAAUUGAGUACCCCAAUGGUUGUACGAUUGUUAGAUGUAAAUAAAGAUAAAUUUUGUCCUUGUGAGAAUGAUGAAUAGUUUCUUGGUCCUAAUGUACCAUAUCUAAGUGUCAUAGGAGCAUUGAUGUAUCUUGCAAACAACACAAGACCUGAUAUAGCUUUUGCUGUAAACUUGUUAGUAAGAUUUAGUUCUUCUCCAACACGUAGACAUUGGAAUGGAAUUAAACAUGUAUUUAGAUAUCUUAGAGGGACCAUUGAUAAGGGGAUAUUUUAUUCAAAUGAUUCAAAAUCCCUAUUAGUUGGUUAUGCUGAUGCUGGAUAUUUAUUAGAUCCACAUAAAGGUCGAUCUCAAACGGGAUAUUUAUUUACAUGUGGAGGUACUGCCAUAUCAUGGCGUUCGACAAAGCAAACAUUACCUGCUGCCUCUUCAAAUCAUGCUGAAAUAAUUGCAAUGCAUGAGGCAAGUCGAGAGUGUGUUUAACUAAGGUUAUUAACCCAACAUAUCUAGAAGAUAUAAUUUUCCUUUUACAGGAAAAUAUGCCAACUAUCUUAUAUGAAAAUAAUGCAGCAUGUAUAGCUCAAUUAAAGGGUGGCUAUAUCAAAGGUGACAGAACGAAACACAUUUCACCAAAAUUAUUCUUCACUCAUGAUCUUGAGAAGAAGUGUGACAUAGAAGUUCAACAAAUUCAUUUCAGUGAUAAUUUAGCGGAUCUUUUUACCAAGGCAUUGCCAACUUCAACAUUUGAAAGACUAUGAAACAAGAUUGAAAUGCGUCGACUCAAAGAUAUAAUGCGAUGUCGUCAUUAGGGGAGUCUAAAACAUGUUGUACUCUUUUCCUUUAACCAAGGUUUUGUCCCACUAGGUUUUCCUGAUAAAGGUUUUUAACAAGGUAACUUGUAAUAAGAGAUUGUGUACUAUUUUUCCUUCAGUAGAUUUUUACCCCACAUGGUUUUUCCUAAUAAAGGUUUUAAUGAGGCACUGUUUUCUCUAGUGGACAUCCAAGAAGGAGUGUUAUAAAUAAAUGUGAAUGUCCAUAUUCUAACACCCCAUCAUUUAUGAGGUAAAACCUCCCCUUCAUUAUGCAAUGUUUAAUAUAUGCAUUAAUGAAGCACUUAAGUAAGCUUCAUUUAUGGUAUUGCAUUGAAUGUUAAUUACUUAUAAAUUAUAAAUAGAAUCCUUACCUGAGUGAAAUAAAAAAAAAAGAAAAAAAUUCUAUUUUCAUUCACUUUUAUUUAUUGUUUUAUCGUUUUCUUAUAACAAUAUAAUGGUAUUUUCAUCUUUUACUAUUUCUAUAUUAAAUGUUUACAUAAAUGAACUAAAGAUACUGUAUUUAAGAUUUAAACCUAAUUUUUGGAAAAGUAUUCAUUUUGCCUAAAACUCAAUUGUUGCUUAUUUUUCUUUUGGUUUUUUAAAAAUAUAAUUUUAAUAUUAAAAUUUAUUUUCACCCACAUCUAUAAAAUUUAAUUAUUGGUUCUUACUUGGAUGUAUUUUUGUUGAUUAGAAAAUGAGAAGUCGGAAAAUUUUUAAAAUUGGAAAAUUUUUGGAUACACCGAAAUGUAUUAUUGCCGCCAUAGUUCCAAAAAACCAUCCAGAACCUAAGCAAAAGUUAAAUUGAAUCUUGUGCCUGUUAAAUUAGAUUGUUUUUACAUUUCUAUUAAUUAAAAUUAAUGAAUUAAAAAAUAUUAUUGUUUUUUAAUAUUAAUCUUAGUAUAGAUUGUUAUCAUAUUUGUAUUUUUUUAUACAAUACCUAAAACUAUCCAUAAUCUCUCAUCAACCCUUAAAUAGGAGGAUAAUGCACUUCAACAUACUCGAACUCAUGUCCUUCUACACUAACAAUAAUAUUGAUGUAAGAAUUGUCAAAUUACAUCUACGAUAAUAUAUAUAUCAUUUACUUUGAGAAUGAAAAUCAUCUUUACAAAUUUGCCCUUUAAAAAAAUAUAAGUCAUGAGAAAAAUGUUAACUUUGUUUCCCCUCUCUUUUUAAUACUUUAAACAAUCAUUGUAUCAACAAUGGUAUUAUUUAUAAAGAAUUUGUUCUAGAUCUAUUUAAUCCUGAUAAAACAUAUCUACUCUUAUAUCUACUAAAGUUAGUGUUGGGAAGAGAAAGAGACAAUCCACAUCGACUAACUAAUAAUUAAAUUGUGACACAUAAGAACAUUUUCAAAAAAAAAAUUAUUUUUAAAAAUGAUUUUUUGUAAAUCAAACCAUUCUUUAACAAAGAAGGUUUACAACUAAUACAACACAAUUGUGUCUAAUACGUUACUUAAGUGCCCUCUACUUGAAUUCAUUUUAAUAUUAUUAUUUGACUAUACAAUUAAAACCCAUAUGAAGUCAAUUGCGUUUUAACUCGAUUGGUAUGAGCAUUGUUGUCAAAACAAGAGGACGUGGGUUAGAUUGCGCUGAAGUAUAUUAUCCUCUUAUUUAUGAAUUGAGGAGGGAAUAUGAAUAGUUUUAAGUAUUGUAUCAAGAAAAUAGAUAUAAGAUAUUUCAAAAAAGAAAAAAAAUCACCUGAAAAUCUUAAAAAAAAAUUACAAAUUACUCGUAAAAGGAUGCACGCAAAAUAGCCCAUUAUUUGGGCAAGACAAAAUAGCCCAAAUUAAAGCCCAUAAAAACGUAAAAAAAUCCAAAGCUAAGGCCCUAAUGUAACCAAGCAUGUGGCUACCAAUCAGUUCCAAACAUGUGGUCGCCGCUCAAUCUUAAUCACACGUCACAAACUUCUAUGUAAUCCUCCAAACGCCAAGGGUUAAUUCCAUCAAAUAUCCUCAAACUAUUGCUCAAAAUCUAAAUUGAUCUUUAAAUUUCAAAAUAUUCUAAUUGAGUCUUUAAAGGAUAAGUAUUGUAUAAUCAAAGCUUUUUUUUAGCCUAACCAUUAAUUAAAUACUAAUUCAGCUUCGACAUAGAGUAUCUUAAAACAUAUGGAUCGAAUUGAAAAAUUAUGUACCUAUCACAUUUAAUCAAAAUUGUCAAUGCAUUGGAUGCACACAUGUUAAUAAAAUUUAAGAAGACUAUGCAUUUAUUUUUAAAAUUAUCAAAUAAAAAUUUUCUAAAUAUAUUUAUAAUUUGAUUUACCUAUUUUAAAUAUGAUAUAGUCAUAUUCAUAUUGGAAUUUAAUGCCAAAAUUGAUGUGUAUAUUAACUAAAAGACAUGAUUGUUAUAAUAUUAAUACUUCAAGAUCACAAAUAAAGGAUUUUAAAAUUCAAGGACAAAUUUAAAAUUUAGAUAGUAAUUUAAGGACGUUUGGUGCAGUUAAUCCCCUAAUCUUUGUCCCUUUUGCUCCUGAUGAAACGAAGACUCAAUGAUUUUUCUCUAAUCCAACGGCUCAAAUUCUCCCAUAAUAAUAUCUUUCGCUAAUGCUCUAUUAUCGUGUCUCUAUCUCUACGACUUUUUGCAGAUAAAAACGCUAACUAAAACGAACAUAUAAAUCAUCCUAUUUUUAAUUUAUAUUUUGAAAAAAAGAUUAUUCCUGAUUUUUUUAGGUUUCCGGCAAUGUUAUCUACUGAAUUUCUACGACCGGCGACGAUAACAUUCCACGGUAAAUUCAGCACAAAUUCUUACUCUAAUCUUCUUUAUCUACAUGGAUUAAACUUCAAAGCCAUUCGGUUUAGGGUUUUGCAACAAAAAACGAACCGUUUCUUCCCCAAUUCUAUCACUUCCACCCUAAAGAACGUCGCCGUUGUGGGAAACCACGAGAGAUUAAAUCUUUACGGAAGAGGUAAAUUAAGGUUCAAAGAGAGCAAAAUUUUGGCUAAUUGUACGGACAGCAGCGAUUCGAAGGCGAGCUCCGGCGAGAAAAAUGAAAGCGAAGGUGGGCAAGGAGUGACGCAGAAACAGAGUCCGUCAAAUUCGGGGGGUUCGACUAAUCAGAGAGGAGAAAAGGGUGGAAGAAGCGGGUUGUGGAGGUCCAAAGGAAAGAAAUGGCAGUGGCAACCGAUAGUUCAAGCUCAAGAAAUUGGUGUUUUGCUUUUACAGUUGGGUGUUGUUAUGUUCGUUAUGCGACUGCUCCGACCCGGGAUUCCGUUGCCCGGGUCCGAGCCUAGGAUCCCGACGACUUUUGUCAGCGUUCCUUACAGCGAGUUUUUGAAUAAGAUUAAUAGUAAUCAGGUUCAAAAGGUGGAGGUUGAUGGAGUUCAUGUAAUGUUCAAACUGAAGAACGAAGGGAGCGUUCAAGAGAGUGAAAUUGGUAAGUUUCAGGAGUCGGAGUCCUUGUUGAGGAGUGUGGCGCCUACAAAGCGAAUUGUAUAUACAACAACUCGGCCUAGUGAUAUUAAGACUCCAUAUGAGAAGAUGCUGGAAAACGAUGUGGAGUUCGGGUCUCCCGAUAAGCCAUCUGGUGGAUUCUUCAACUCUGCAUUGGUAAGUUGUGUUUUUUGUUUGUUGUCAUGAUUUGAAUGAAACUAGAUUAAUUGCUUCUUUUUAAAAAAAAAAAAAAAGAAGAAGCUUUUGUUAGAGUUCUUAAUGAGUUAACCAGUUGAAUGGUAAUGGUUUUGUUGGGGGUAGCAGUUUUUUUGUGGUAGGCUGCCUGAUUGAAGUAUGUAAUCUAGGAGAGGAGAGGAUCUUCUCUUGCCUUCUUUGGACUAGGAAUCUCAAAGAGUGAUCUGAUGGGCCCUCUAUUAUUGGGUAAUCUAUUUCCUCUUCAGGUGGCAGGAAUGUAGAGGUUGUAGUUGGUGGACUAUGAUUGGUUAUAAUUUGGGACAAGAAUACCUUCAGUUACUCCGUUCACUUGGUUCUUUCUAAAUCAUGUGUUUGUAUACGUCUGUGGAUUUUUGAUUUGACUUCCUCUCUUUUGCAGAUAGCUUUGUUCUAUGUUGCUGUUCUUGCGGGACUUCUCCAUCGGUUCCCUGUGAAUUUUUCUCAGGUUUGAAUUUGCUUGUAAGCUCUUUGAGUACAUUAAUGUUUUUGUAGUACUGAUAGUUCUGAUUUGAAUCAUGCAUAUAUGCAGCAUACAGCUGGUCAGAUUAGGAAUCGCAAGACAAGGAGUUCUGGGGGUUCAAAAGCCUCUGAACAAGGUGAAACAAUAACUUUCGCUGAUGUGGCUGGUGUUGAUGAGGCAAAGGAGGAACUUGAAGAAAUUGUGGUAUUUUAAAUAUUAUUCCACUUAAUAUGCUACCAGUAAUUGAUAUUUGCAGUGAAUGCUCCCUUGAAGUUCUAGUAUUGUCUUUAUAUUCUUAUGUUUACUGCCCAGGAAUUUCUUAGGAAUCCAGACAGGUAUAUACGGCUUGGUGCUCGUCCUCCACGAGGAGUUCUCCUGGUGAGUUGAUACUAGGGACAUUAAGCAUGAUGGGCUUUCUGAAAAAAUUAGCUGAAACUAUAUUUGAUGCUGUUGAAGAAGCUUUUGGUCUAAGAAGUCAGGGCCUAUGUGAAAAACUUCAUUAAUAUCUGAAAAUUCUGGCAUUAAGUUUGCUACUUCUGUCUCUUACUCUUAGAAUAUCUUCAUCAAAAGCUUUUGGUCCUCUAAAGCUUUCUACUUGUCAUUCUUGUCAAGAUAAGUUCACAAAGUUUCAGAUGGAAUUCAGCGUGUUCACUGUCUCCACUUAGUUCUCAGAUGCUAGUGUUAUAUGAUGGUUUCCUUGCAUGGUUACCUCUUUUCUGAAAACUAUAGUCAGUAUUUAUGAUUUUAUUUGUGAUGCAGGUGGGUCUUCCUGGGACAGGCAAGACUCUUCUAGCAAAAGCUGUGGCUGGUGAGGCCGAAGUUCCAUUCAUAAGUUGUUCUGCAAGUGAGUUUGUAGAGUUGUAUGUUGGCAUGGGUGCAUCACGAGUUAGAGAUCUCUUUGCACGAGCUAAGAAGGAGGCACCAUCAAUAAUUUUUAUUGAUGAGGUCAGCCUGUGAGCAUUAUAAUUUUGUUGGAACAAUAUGUUUAACCUCUUUUUUGUACAGUAGAGUUUUGUAACACCUUUCCUUGCACACAGAUAGAUGCCGUGGCUAAAAGUCGCGAUGGUAAAUUUCGCAUUGUUAGCAAUGACGAACGGGAGCAAACUUUGAACCAAUUACUCACUGUAACGUUCCCUGCAUCAUAGUUUUUCUGCUCAUGUGGACCUCUUGGCCGUUCCCCUUUGAAGCUAACAUUUCUGAACUACAUUGCAGGAGAUGGAUGGAUUUGACAGCAAUUCCGCUGUGAUUGUUCUUGGAGCUACAAACCGUUCUGAUGUCUUGGAUCCUGCCCUUCGUCGACCAGGGAGAUUUGAUCGUAUUGUUAUGGUUUGUAUCAUGCACUAUAUUUCAAUUGAACUUGCAGAAUGUUGGAAUCUGCCAUAUCAACCAGUUCCUUUUUGCUUAACUCGUAUCUCAUGGAGAUUAUGUCUGGAAUGGUUUCCAGGUAGAGACUCCUGACAGGAUUGGAAGAGAAGCUAUUAUAAAAGUGCAUGCCUCCAAGAAGGAACUUCCCCUUGGAGAUGAUGUUGAUCUUGGUGACAUUGCCUCUAUGACUACUGGUUUUACUGGGUAUUUUCUCAUUUACAUUGUCAUAUUUAAGUACACUGCUUCCCAAUCUCCUCUUCAGCUUCCUUUCCUCUUCAUAAAUUUCUACUUGUUGAUGAUGUGGGGAUGACUUAACGAAUUUUCUUUUUUUCAUUUCGCAGGGCUGAUCUUGCAAAUCUGGUAAAUGAAGCAGCCUUACUCGCUGGAAGAAAUAAUAAAGUUGUUGUAGAGAGGAUUGAUUUCAUUCAGGCAGUAGAACGAUCAAUAGCUGUAAGUCUCUCUCUCUUUGAUCAUUGUUUUGUUUAUUUGUUACAGUUUUCUAUUGUGACUCCUUAUAUUACAUCCAUUGGUUUCAGCUGUUUCCAUCUCCAAUGUUUUUAAACAUUUUUCUUCACAUUUUCCCUUGCCUUGAAAGUUAAUUUUAAUUAUUACUCCCAUAGCCAAUGAUGCUAUGCAAUCUUCUCAGUCUAGUUAUUGGCUUUGAUUCUUGGUUUUACUUUGUACCAUUCAUGUUUUGAAUUACUUUAUCACAAAACACAGAUAUUUGAGGGCAAAAAAAAAAAAAAAUGGAGUUUUUGUGCAAUCCUUUUAUAUUGCUUUUUGCACUUUCUAAUGAGACUAUCCUUAGGGAUAAAGGAUAUUCUCCAAUCUACUGUGAUUUACAUAGUUCCUCUUAGACAUUUGUCUCACAAGAUGUGUAAUUUUACUAAAGAAUUAUGAGAAAAUACUAAACUGAAAUUGAGUGACGAAAAGAAUGAUAUUUCAUAGGGCAUAGAGAAGAAAACUGCCAAAUUGAAGGGAUGUGAGAAGGCUGUGGUUGCAAGGCAUGAAGCUGGCCAUGCAGUAGUAGGUACAGCUGUUGCAAACCUUCUUCAUGGACAGCCACGUGUUGAGGUAAACAAUGGCAAUAAUUUACUUAAUCUCUCUCUCUCUCUUUUUUUUUUCUUUGUUUGUUCUUGUUAACUCAAUUUGAAAUUUGAAAAUGAUAAAAGAAAAUAUAUGAAAUUUGAAUGGAAAGUUCUGAGCUUGUGCUGUGUAGUUUAGGAGUGUGUACUGUUCACGUCAUGUACCAGAGACGGUCCCAGGGCAAUAAUUUCUAUCUUCCUUGUUAAGAAGAUAAUUGGCUUCUUAGCCAUUGACCUUCCUAAUUGUUUGUUUCUCUUUUGGUACUUGGGAGUUGGGAGGUCUGACAAGACCUAGAGUACAACGCUGACCUCAUAAACAGUAGUAUAUUUUCAAAUUUUCAAGCAACAUUUUGAAAAUUAGAAUGAAAUUGGAGAAUUAGAUUUCUUUACUUGUUAUACAAAAUUUUUAAUCUUGUUUGGUACAAGUGGGAGGUCCACUUGAUCUUUGGUUAUACAUGGAAUUAAGAACAAUAAUGUUUAACUUAUUAAGGUUGGGUUGUUCAAUAGUUGUCACAAUGGGCUUAAAUUAUCCCUGCGGCUUUGUUCACAUGAAAUGGAUAAUAUGGUAACUAGUCAACUCUUUUUGUCUGCAGAAACUGAGCAUACUGCCCAGAUCUGGAGGAGCAUUGGGCUUUACUUAUAUUCCUCCUACCAAUGAGGAUAGAUAUUUACUCUUCAUUGAUGAGUUACGUGGCCGUUUGGUUACUCUUCUUGGUGGACGUGCUGCAGAGGAAGUUAUCUAUUCAGGUCGUGUUUCUACUGGUGCACUUGAUGAUAUUAGGCGGGCGACAGACAUGGCAUUCAAGGCAGUAGCUGAAUAUGGUCUUAAUCAGACUAUAGGGCCUCUCUCUUUAGCUACGGUUUCUGGUGGAGGCAUGGAUGAAUCCGGGGGUGGAGUUCCUUGGGGACGAGAUCAGGUCCCUUUUUUAUACUCUUUUUCAUUAAAGUUCAGUUGAUCUUUUUUGUUUCCAAUUCCUACAGUGUCUGUAAUGAAGACUGAUCCAAAACGGAACUUGCAGGGACAUCUAGUUGAUCUUGUCCAAGGAGAGGUGAAGGCAUUACUGCAGUCUGCCCAUGAAGUAGCCCUUUCUGUUGUACGUGCUAAUCCAACUGUUUUGGAAGGGCUUGGUGCUCACCUGGAAGGUAAUCUGUUUUUGCUACCUGUUUUGUAUGUCAAAAUUCCUGAUCAUCCAAUUCGUUUUUUCAUUCUUUGCUAUAAGUUAUGAACUCGAGGUGUUUUUCAGAAAAUAAAAUCUAAUGGAAACUUACAAGGGAUCUAAUAGGUAGAUGAUUCCGAUAGCCGACUUUCCCUACUUGUUUGCUGUUUGAUGAAAUAUGUAUUGCUAUUUUGACAAUUUCCCUGAUGAACUCUUCAGUUCUACUUGUCAGUUCUUUAAUGCUAUUCACCAUUGUUUUGUUUAAAUUAUCUUAGUACUGAUGUAGUUUAUAUCCUAGUGUAGAUAACAUUCACACUCUUCAAACGGUUUAAUUUUUGUUGUGAAGUCAAUAUUCUGCAUCUUUAAAAAGGGGAAAGGAGAUCACUCUUUACUUCAUACUAUGGUCUAAUGCUUCGCUUUAUUCAGAAAAUGAGAAAGUAGAAGGUGAAGAGCUACAAAAAUGGUUGAAAUUGGUUGUUGCACCAAAGGAACUAAUCAUCUUCGUUGAAGGCAAGCAAGAGUCUCUUCUGCCGGUUCAAGCGGGCUCUGGAUAAGUGUUUUGCUCAUUGCUUGUCAACAUUGAGCAUUGCAUUGAACCAACCGACUAUAUCUUUCUUUGCACCUUGUCAAUGACCAUGCUGUGGCUACCGGCAUCAAAGCUCCCUUGCGCUUUUUUUUUUUCAUAUUUCAGCAAGGUGAGUCCUGGCUUAAGUAUUAACACUACGAAGUCUUCUCAUUAUUUUAUUCUCACUACACUUACCAGAGGAAACAUAGAGAAGGAAAUGGUGAAGCUGAAUAUUUAUUUCCCGAAAAAUCCUUCAAGCUUGUCUUCCCGUUCUUGAUAUUAUGGUGAUAAGUUCAGGUUGGUCUCCGUCUGUUCUGUUGUACAUUGGCUAUUAUUUUUAUCAGUCAUAACGGGUGGAGUUUUAACAGUAAUUGAGUUGUACACAUAAUUAUUAUGUGAAAUAUAAUAUAAGAUUAUUGCACAUAAUAAUGUUGGGUUAAAAAUGUGUCUUCAGAAGAACAUUGUACAUAUAGUAUGCUGUAGAAAAUACAUGCUGUUAAUAAUAGUUUCCCAAAAUGGAACUAAACAUUAUUUUUGAGCAUUGACAUGAAACCAGAAGUGUAAUUUCCUUCGUCCGAGAACAUGACACAUCAAAUAAAAAUAUAAAAACAGUACAAUUAACAAAAACUAAUAUGAUAUGCCCAACCCUCAUGUUUUGUAUUUAGGAUUUUGAUACAUUUAAUAAUUUAUCUUAUAUUAUAUCUGUCAAUUCAGCAGGUCAGGUUGGUUUUGGGUAUUGUUAAAUUAUCAAAUCAUUUUGGUUUGGUCUAAUUUAGAGUUCAAGUGAUUUCAGGUUUGAUUCUUUCAAGUUUGGGUUAUUUUAGUUCAUGUUGGUUCUUUUGGGUUAAUUGUUCGGACCAUUUUGAGUUGCGAUUGUUUUGGUUUGUUGCCUUUUAGUGUUAAAUCAGGUUAAAUCGGUGUGAAUCAAAAUUAAAAAUCUAUUUAUGUUUAUCCAAAUGUUCUUAAUUGAUUUAUUUUAGAUUUUUACAUAGGAAAGCAUUAGGGAGUAUAAGAUUAUGUUUGAUAAUUGAAAAGUUUUAUAAAAUAUGUUAAAAUUAAAUAUUUAAUAUAAUUAAAUUGUUUAAUAAAACAAUUAAAUUUAUUCUCUAUUUAAGUCUGUCUAAUUAUUUGCAUUCUGAGUUAAAAUAUUGAAAAUAUUAAUAUCCAGUUAAUUGAAUCUUUUAAACGCAUUUUAAAACAGAGCCUAAAUUAGACGUUUUACCAACUGAAAGCAAAAGCCAUCUAAUUAAGGGUGGGGUUUCAGUAUUUUUGACUUUUGCAUUUUAAAGUAUAAAUUAUCAAAAUAUCUUGUUUUUUAUUAACUAUUUAAAAUGUAUAUAAAAUUUUGGAUUAAUUUAUAUUUCAUGUGUCAUCAUAUUAAAUCAUUUAAAUAUGAUUUUAUUAUUAUAUUUAAAAUUUUAAAUUAUUUCAUGUCUAAUUAAAUUUAAAAAUAAUUUAUUAAUUAUUAAAAAAUAUUUUAUGUAUAAUUAUGUUAAAUUAUUUAAAUAAUAUCUAAUUUAAUUUAAUUUUUAAAUUUUCAACACUAGACAUUUUAAUUUUUCAUUUUAAAUUUUAACUUAAAAUUAAAACCGUCCUUUUUAAAUUGAACUUUUCACAAACAUAUCUUAGCAAUAGGCGAAGCUGGCCCUACAUCAUGAGGAGUUGAGAAGAAUGAAGGGUGAUGAGUCCGUUGAGGUUUGAUAUUUUGGCCCUCAAAAAUAUCAGUGUUGCUUUCAGAUCACAAUUUCGUUCUUUUGUCCGCAUCCUCGGGAAACAAACAAAGAAGUCCACUCGACCUGUUUACCUUUUCUCUCAUUUGGACCACAGUUCAAGCAACAGGUGGCCCAAUGUCAUCCUUUAAUUCCCAAUCCUUGUAUUCAACAAUAAAAUAUUUAAUUCAAGAUUAACGUAAAAUAGUACGAGUAGGGAUUGAGGUCUUUUACAAACAUUCCAAUGAAUUGAAUUUUAAAUUUUAAAUGUUUGGUUUAAUUUGAGGAAAAUCUUAUUUAAUUUAUAUACAUAUUAUAUACAUAAAAAAAUAGUCAGUACAAUUUUAGAUAUAAAAAUAAAAAAAAAUUAGUAAAAUCUUUCGUAAAAAAAUAAAACAUCUUCAAAAUAAAUAAUUUUUUUUCCUUUUCUUUACUAAAAAUAAGAUACGGAAAUGAUUAAAUCUUACCAAAUAAAUUAGUUUAUUACUCACUUGUAAACAUGCAGGACAAAUAAUACUCCUACCAAAUGUAGCUAAAGUGUUUUAUUUGAAUUCUCAAAGUAUCAAAUAUUGUAUCAAUUAUGCUUUUUCAUCAGUCUAAUAUUAAAUUUGGAUGUUAAAUGUUAACUCGAAUUUAAUAUGAAGAAUAUUUAAAACAUAUAGAUCAAAAUUUAAACAUGCGUAUACCAAAUGCAUUAACAAUAAAUUUGAUGCGUUAAAAAAAUAUCAUUAUUAAAAUUUAAGAAAAUUACAUUUUUUUCUUUUAGUACAUUAUAUCUAAUCUGUUUAUAUGAUAAACAUACAUGUAUUUAGAAUUUGACAUAUUUGUUUUAAAUAUGAUUCUCGUCAAAUUUGAGUUAACAUUUAUAUCUAUGUUGACAAUUAGGUUGAUGGAAGGAAGCAAUUGAUAUGAUAUCGAUGCUUUGAAAAUUAAAUUAGAAUGAUAUAAAGUUUGAGGAUUAAUUUAAAAUAUAAGUUAUAGUUUAGGGACAUAUAAUGAAAUUAACUCUAAAAAUGUAUAUAGAAAAUAUCUAAUAAAUGCACCACGUAAGCAUGCGCUUUUUCAUUAUUUUUGAGAGGGGAAAAAAAUGUUUCUGUCACUCUUUUACCAAUAUAAAUGGAAGAAGGCUGUGCAGGACGAGUGCUCAGUUAUUAUUCGAGAGCUCUCUCACUCUCCACUUUAGAGACGCUUAAUAGGGAUAAGAUCUUCCAGGUUCCUCCUCUUUUUUCACUCUUUUUUUUUUUAAUUUCUUUUGUUUGUUUGGCUGGUGAGAAAAUUAAAUUAAAUCUAAAUAAAUAGCACAUUUUCUUUUUAUUCUCCUUUUUUUUCUAGAUCACUGCAUGCUGGUUUAAUUCAAACAUAGGCUUGUAAUUUUACGUGUUUUUCUUUCUUUCUUUUUAUUUGUACUGCCCUGUUAUAUCAGAUACACUGAACCACUAAGGAAGCUGUUGUUUUUUCUUCUUAAUUUUGGUAACGUUUUCUGCGAUUAUAGUAAGUUAAUUAUUUAUAAGUGAUAAUGGUGAGUUAUAAAUCAGCGGUUGGAUUUGUAUGAGAAGUCUUCUUAAAUCUUAAUGGAUAUGCUCUAUGCUUAUUAAUCUUGAAUGCCUUUCUAUUUUAGUUCUGAAGAAAUUCAAAUUUUGACCUAUACGAAAAGUAAUGUUUACUUGUGCAAAAUAUCCAAGAUUAUGCAUUUUCUUUAGCAUUUUAUAUGAAUACACAGCACACUGAACCAGGAGACAUAUAUAUUGCAUAUAUAUUGUAGAUCGAGGGUUUUCACUGAAAUGCAUAGAACUAUGUAAUCACAUUUACGUCCAUCGUGGUGUCCUUUAGAUUAUUAUUUAUUAGAAACUAGACUAGAAUUCUUCUGUUUAUCUGAUGAAAACUUUAUGAAGUUGGAAAUACUAGAGUAUAGACCUUCUGUCCUUGCUGGUAAUGCUGAUUAACGCGGCAUUUUUUCUUUUUCAUUCUAGAUUUAUCUUUUAUGCCAUUAGUUAAUUUAUUUGUAUAUUUAAUGUAUACAAAUUUGUUAUUUUUAUUCUCAAGAGUAGGCAACGAUAAUUGCUUUUUUUCUAAUCAAAUUCGACCUUCACGUCCUGCAUUUAUCAAUUAUGUUUGUUCUCGAUGUUUUAUGUAUAGUUAAUCAUUUGAUGAUUGUGUGGUGAUGAUUUAUUGAUAACUCACGACAUGCUUGGUCAAUCCAGAUAUGGCAUCGGUGCAUGCUAGCUUCACAUCAGUUGUAUGCAAGAAUGGCAACCAUUCUGCUCCUUCAUGGUUUCCUUGUACGACCUUCUUACCCGGCUUUGAUGUGGUUGGCCGUGUUUCAAAUGCUUGUAAGAAGGAAAUAUGCCCUUCUAUGAGUUCAGGUCCUAAAGCCACAUUAACUUUUGAUCCUCCAACAACCAAUUCAGAGAAAAGCAAACAGAAGAAGCAUACCAUAAAUCCUGCUUCCCCUGAUUUUAUGCCACUUCCAUCAUUUGAAGAAUGUUUCCCAAAGAGCUCAAAAGAAUGCAGGUUAAUUUAGUUAUAUAUAUGCAAUUUGUUGGUUCUGUUUUCUUUCCCUUUUGCUUGAAAACACUUUUUAUGCGUGAUGAACCUUUCAGGGAGGUUAUUCAUGAAGAAUCUGGCCAUGUACUCAAGGUUCCCUUUCGAAGGGUUCAUUUGACUGGAGAUGUGCCAAACUUCGACACAUAUGACACCAGUGGUCCUCAAAACAUCAAUCCACGCAUUGGUAGGAUGCUCAACCUUGCUCUCAGCUUCUUGCUCCUUUUUGAAGGACAUUAGCUUUUCUUCACUUUGUUUUGCUUAGCCAACUCCCCUCUUAUAUGUUCUUGAUAAAUCUUUGAUUGUUUGUUUGGGUCUUUACUCCACUAUGAUUAUUUUAUGUUCCUUUCAUAUAUUGGAUCUCUUGAUAUUGUUAUAGUUUUAUGGUCAAGUUAAAUGCUAAGUUUUGUACUUGACAUCUUUAAACAGGACUCCCUAAAUUGCGCAAGGGCUGGGUUGACAGACGGGAAAAACUGGGUGCACCUAGAUACACUCAGAUGUACUAUGCUAAGCAGGGAAUCAUUACUGAGGAAAUGUUAUAUUGUGCUACUCGUGAGAAGCUUGACCCAGAAUUUGUUAGGUCAGAGGUUGCCCGUGGGAGGGCGAUCAUUCCUUCCAACAAAAAGCACUUAGAGCUGGAACCAAUGAUAGUUGGACGAAACUUUUUGGUCAAAGUAAAUGCAAAUAUUGGAAACUCAGCCGUUGCAAGUUCAAUUGAGGAGGAAGUUUACAAGGUCCAAUGGGCAACAAUGUGGGGUGCUGAUACUGUUAUGGAUCUCUCAACUGGGCGCCACAUUCAUGAAACCCGUGAAUGGAUCCUACGUAACUCUGCUGUGCCUGUUGGGACCGUGCCAAUCUAUCAAGCACUUGAAAAAGUCAAUGGAAUUGCUGAAGAUCUUUGUUGGGAAGUCUUCAGGGACACCCUGAUUGAGCAAGCUGAGCAGGGUGUAGAUUACUUCACAAUCCAUGCUGGGGUACUGCUGCGGUACAUUCCCUUAACAGCAAAACGGAUGACAGGAAUAGUUUCUCGAGGAGGAUCUAUUCAUGCAAAAUGGUGCCUGGCGUACCAUAAGGAGAAUUUUGCUUAUGAGCAUUGGGAUGACAUACUUGAUAUCUGCAACCAAUAUGAUGUGGCGCUUUCAAUCGGGGAUGGACUAAGACCUGGAUCCAUAUAUGAUGCCAAUGACACUGCACAGUUUGCUGAGCUUUUAACCCAAGGGGAACUGACUCGUAGGGCUUGGGAAAAGGAUGUACAGGUAUCUCAAUGCACCUUGGAAGUGCUCCUUUAGCAUUCUGUUCAUAAAAUGUUUCUAAAGUACUGCUCAAUUUGAAGCGUAUUACUGGCUUUACAUGGUUUUGAUUAUCUUAUAACUUUAACAUGAUUUUUUUUUUGGUGCUUUUCAGGUAAUGAAUGAAGGACCUGGACACAUCCCAAUGCACAAAAUUCCAGAAAAUAUGCAAAAGCAGCUUGAGUGGUGCAAUGAAGCACCUUUCUAUACCCUUGGUCCUUUGACAACUGAUAUUGCUCCUGGAUACGAUCAUAUCACUUCUGCAAUUGGUGCAGCCAAUAUUGGGGCUCUUGGCACAGCACUUCUGUGUUAUGUAACUCCAAAGGAGCACCUUGGGU